UACGGGGGGGGCAAGCGUUGUUCGGAAUUACUGGGCGUAAAGGGCUCGUAGGCGGCCAACUAAGUCAGACGUGAAAUCCCUCGGCUUAACCGGGGAACUGCAUCUGAUACUGGAUGGCUUGAGUUCGGGAGAGGGAUGCGGAAUUCCAGGUGUAGCGGUGAAAUGCGUAGAUAUCUGGAGGAACACCGGUGGCGAAGGCGGCAUCCUGGACCGAUAUUGACACUGAUGAGCGAAAGCUAGGGGAGCAAACGGG
RNAcentral lists this ribosomal RNA (253 nucleotides) under uncultured bacterium. Its description in RNAcentral is "partial 16S ribosomal RNA". It matches the Rfam family "Bacterial small subunit ribosomal RNA", at positions 524 to 776 of the family's 1533-position model. The record is from RNAcentral.